AAGUCGUAACAAGGUUUCCGUAGGUGAACCUGCGGAAGGAUCAUUACCAAAUCCAAAUUCAACCACUUGUGAACAUGUCUUGUAUUGUCUUUUGGGAGGUUGGGAGAGCUUCUGCUCUUCUUUUUCCAUAUCAUUUGGGAAGCCUCCCAUUAGGCGCGUGCGCUUUGUUUGUCGCAAGGCAAGCAAGCCACAACCCAAUAUGAACCACAAUUCAAAAUUUUUCAUUUGGUUUUUUACAAAAACAAAAUGACAACUUUUAACGGUGGAUCUCUUGGCUCAU
This 280-nucleotide unclassified non-coding RNA is filed under the name fungal sp. RNAcentral's name for it is "partial internal transcribed spacer region". The stretch from base 1 to 46 matches the Rfam family "Eukaryotic small subunit ribosomal RNA", at positions 1786 to 1831 of the family's 1831-position model. Lineage: Eukaryota; Fungi. The record is from RNAcentral.